GUGCCAGCCGCCGCGGUAAAACGUAGGAGGCGAGCGUUAUCCGGAUUUACUGGGCGUAAAGCGCACGCAGGCGGCUUCGUUAGUCGGAUGUGAAAGCUCCUGGCUUAACUGGGAGAGGCCAUUCGAUACUGCGAGGCUUGAGGUUGGGAGAGGGGUGUGGAAUUCCCGGUGUAGUGGUGGAAUGCGCAGAUAUCGGGAGGAACACCUGUGGCGAAAGCGGCACCCUGGCCCACACCUGACGCUGAGGUGCGAAAGCGUGGGUAGCAAACAGGAUUAGAUACCCUAGUAGUCC
This 292-nucleotide ribosomal RNA is filed under the name uncultured bacterium. Its description in RNAcentral is "partial 16S ribosomal RNA". It matches the Rfam family "Bacterial small subunit ribosomal RNA", at positions 505 to 796 of the family's 1533-position model. The record is from RNAcentral.